This 117-nucleotide small nucleolar RNA is filed under the name Cervus elaphus hippelaphus. Its description in RNAcentral is "Small nucleolar RNA SNORA70". It matches the Rfam family "Small nucleolar RNA SNORA70". From Rfam's summary of the family: snoRNA U70 seems to be exclusive to mammals and is a member of the H/ACA class of snoRNA which contain H (ANANNA) and ACA box motifs. H/ACA box snoRNAs are involved in the conversion of uridines to pseudouridines (5-ribosyluracil) a constituent of structural RNAs (transfer, ribosomal, small nuclear, and small nucleolar). The record is from Rfam by way of RNAcentral. Lineage: Eukaryota; Metazoa; Chordata; Mammalia; Artiodactyla; Cervidae. RNAcentral also lists the same sequence under 1 other name.
CUUCAGACGGGGAAGCUGAGGACAGAAAAAGGGUAGGACUGCUGUGCAAUGGCUGCAGAUAGCAGCCACCUCAGUCGUGUCCGCAGCCGGUUGCUCUAAGGGACCUUGGAGACAGCA